AUUGAACGCUGGCGGCAUGCCUUACACAUGCAAGUCGAACGGCAGCGGGCCCUUCGGGGUGCCGGCGAGUGGCGAACGGGUGAGUAAUGCAUCGGAACGUACCCGGGAGAGGGGGAUAACCGGCCGAAAGGCUGGCUAAUACCGCAUGAACUCGGAAGAGCAAAGCGGGGGACCUUCGGGCCUCGCGCUCUCGGAGCGGCCGAUGUCCGAUUAGGCUAGUUGGUGGGGUAAAGGCCCACCAAGGCGACGAUCGGUAGCGGGUCUGAGAGGACGAUCCGCCACACUGGGACUGAGACACGGCCCAGACUCCUACGGGAGGCAGCAGUGGGGAAUCUUGGACAAUGGGCGCAAGCCUGAUCCAGCAAUGCCGCGUGGGUGAAGAAGGCCUUCGGGUUGUAAAGCCCUUUCGGCGGGGAAGAAAUCGGUCAGGCGAAGAGUCUGGCCGGAUGACGGUACCCGCAGAAGAAGCACCGGCGAACUACGU
Molecule: ribosomal RNA, 484 nt
Filed under: uncultured bacterium
Lineage: Bacteria
Description: partial 16S ribosomal RNA
Rfam family: Bacterial small subunit ribosomal RNA
Source: RNAcentral